UGUCCCUGCCCACGGCAGGGGGAUGGGACUAGGUGAUCUUUAAGGUGUUCAAGCGCUUCGUGGAGAUCGGCAGAGUUGCCUUCAUCUCCUUCGGGCCACAUGCUGGCAAGCUGGUGGCCAUCGUGGAUGUUAUUGAC
Pyrgilauda ruficollis (rufous-necked snowfinch) is the source of this 137-nucleotide long non-coding RNA. RefSeq lists it as uncharacterized. The transcript has 2 exons. The record is from RefSeq and is a predicted model, not a curated record. Lineage: Eukaryota; Metazoa; Chordata; Aves; Passeriformes; Passeridae.